Non-coding RNA from Acanthosepion pharaonis, 99 nucleotides. NCBI's taxonomy places the organism in Eukaryota, Metazoa, Mollusca, Cephalopoda, Sepiida, Sepiidae. The record is from the annotation of a GenBank genome assembly.
UGAAACACAGGAUCUCGUUCCGAUCACCGAAGUUAAGCUACUUCGAGCCUUGUCAGUACUUAGAUGGAUGACUUCUUGCGAAUUAACAGAUGCUGCAUG